Molecule: non-coding RNA, 127 nt
Filed under: Physeter macrocephalus (sperm whale)
Lineage: Eukaryota; Metazoa; Chordata; Mammalia; Artiodactyla; Physeteridae
Source: RNAcentral
GUGUUGUAUGAAAGGAGAGAAGGUUAGCACUCCCCUUGACAAGGGUGGAAGAGGCCUUCGGGUCUAACAACACGCAUACGGUUAAAGUACUUGAGAAAAUUUAGUUCAAUCCUUUCUACUUAAGUAG